RNAcentral lists this ribosomal RNA (491 nucleotides) under uncultured bacterium. RNAcentral's name for it is "bacterial SSU rRNA". It matches the Rfam family "Bacterial small subunit ribosomal RNA", at positions 28 to 526 of the family's 1533-position model. The record is from RNAcentral.
GACGAACGCUGGCGGCGCGCCUAACACAUGCAAGUCGAACGGGAUCUUUUAGGAAGCUUGCUUCUUGGCUGAUCUAGUGGCGGACGGGUGAGUAACACGUGAGCAACCUGCCGCGGAGUGGGGGACAACGUCUGGAAACGGACGCUAAUACCGCAUAACAUACCUGGGAGACAUCUCUCGGGUAUCAAAGGAGAAAUCCGCUUUGCGAUGGGCUCGCGCCCGAUUAGAUAGUUGGUGGGGUAACGGCCCACCAAGUCGACGAUCGGUAGCCGGACUGAGAGGUUGAACGGCCACAUUGGGACUGAGACACGGCCCAGACUCCUACGGGAGGCAGCAGUGGGGAAUAUUGCACAAUGGGGGAAACCCUGAUGCAGCGACGCCGCGUGAGUGAAGACGGCCUUCGGGUUGUAAAGCUCUGUUGUGGGGGACGAUAAUGACGGUACCCCAUUAGAAAGCCACGGCUAACUACGUGCCAGCCGCCGCAGUAAAAC